RNAcentral lists this ribosomal RNA (816 nucleotides) under uncultured beta proteobacterium. RNAcentral's name for it is "bacterial SSU rRNA". It matches the Rfam family "Bacterial small subunit ribosomal RNA", at positions 111 to 917 of the family's 1533-position model. Lineage: Bacteria; Pseudomonadati; Pseudomonadota; Betaproteobacteria. The record is from RNAcentral.
UAAUAUAUCGGAACGUGCCCAGUCGUGGGGGAUAACGUAGUGAAAAUUACGCUAAUACCGCAUACGAUCUAAGGAUGAAAGCGGGGGAUCGCAAGACCUCGCGCGAUUGGAGCGGCCGAUAUCAGAUUAGGUAGUUGGUGAGGUAAAGGCUCACCAAGCCAACGAUCUGUAGCUGGUCUGAGAGGACGACCAGCCACACUGGAACUGAGACACGGUCCAGACUCCUACGGGAGGCAGCAGUGGGGAAUUUUGGACAAUGGACGCAAGUCUGAUCCAGCCAUUCCGCGUGCAGGACGAAGGCCUUCGGGUUGUAAACUGCUUUUGUACAGAACGAAAAGGCUUCUAUUAAUACUAGGGGCUCAUGACGGUACUGUAAGAAUAAGCACCGGCUAACUACGUGCCAGCAGCCGCGGUAAUACGUAGGGUGCAAGCGUUAAUCGGAAUUACUGGGCGUAAAGCGUGCGCAGGCGGUUUUAUAAGACAGAUGUGAAAUCCCCGGGCUCAACCUGGGAACUGCAUUUGUGACUGUAUAGCUGGAGUGCGGCAGAGGGGGAUGGAAUUCCGCGUGUAGCAGUGAAAUGCGUAGAUAUGCGGAGGAACACCGAUGGCGAAGGCAAUCCCCUGGGCCUGCACUGACGCUCAUGCACGAAAGCGUGGGGACCAAACAGGAUUAGAUACCCUGGUAGUCCACGCCCUAAACGAUGUCAAACUGGGUUGUUGGGGUCCUUCACUGACUCAGUAAACGAAACUUAACGCGUGAAUUUGACCGCCUGGGGAGUACCGGCCGCAAGUUGAAACUCCAAAGGAAUUGACCGG